This is a long non-coding RNA of Malus domestica (apple), 441 nucleotides long. RefSeq lists it as uncharacterized. The record is from RefSeq and is a predicted model, not a curated record. Lineage: Eukaryota; Viridiplantae; Streptophyta; Magnoliopsida; Rosales; Rosaceae.
AUAAAAAAUAAAAACUGAUAAUUAAAGAAAACCAAAAGCCAACAGCAGUCAAACUUAGCCCGAGGGCCACUCACAGAACCACACCACCCCAUCGUCGUCGGCGACGCUUCUCCUCACCGCCGACGAAGACUCUUUUACUCUUUCUCUCUCCGGUGAACCCACUCCACUGAUUAUUAUUUUUAUUUUUGGGGUUUCCUUUCCCCACUCGUAGGGAAGAUGGAUCUCUGAAUCCUGGAGCAAGAGAGAGAGAGGGGGAGGAUUCGAGGGGAGGCUUUGGCGGCAAUGAGCAGGAGUGGUCCGAGUGGGGUUACCGCCGGUGACGGCUGCGCGAAGUUAUCUUGCGUGGACUUCGACAUCUGCUAGGUCCUUUGUUUUUUCUUUUUAUUGUAUUUGUUUUUUAAUUUGAUAAAAGUUAGCAGUGUUAAUUUUAAGUUAAGGAGU